GUUCAAAGCUGGUUCACAAAUCUUCAGUGAAGGUGGACUUGACUAUUUGGGAAACCCUAGUUUGGUUCAUGCACAAAGUAUCUUAGCUAUCUGGGCUUGUCAAGUUGUCUUGAUGGGUGCUGUUGAAGGUUAUCGUAUUGCGGGUGGACCUCUUGGUGAGGUUGUUGAUCCACUUUACCCUGGUGGUAGCUUUGAUCCCUUAGGACUUGCCGAUGACCCUGAGGCUUUCGCUGAGCUCAAGGUGAAGGAGAUCAAGAACGGUAGACUCGCUAUGUUCUCCAUGUUUGGGUUCUUUGUUCAAGCUAUCGUAACCGGAAAGGGUCCAUUGGAGAACCUUGCAGACCACCUUGCUGACCCAGUUAACAACAACGCCUGGGCUUACGCGACCAACUUUGUCCCCGGAAAGUGAAAUUGUGAUACAUAAUCAUGAGUUUGUAGCUUAUUGUGAGACAUGAAUCUAUAGGAAGGGGUCAGUCUUUUAGAAGCAUUCUGGGUUAUGGAUUCAGUACAAGAAUAUUGUAAUGUGGUGUAAAUUGGUUUGGAUUAAUUAAUGAAGAACAUGUUAAAU
RNAcentral lists this long non-coding RNA (568 nucleotides) under Capsicum annuum. RNAcentral describes it as "long non-coding RNA (CANN_LNC007504)". The record is from RNAcentral. Lineage: Eukaryota; Viridiplantae; Streptophyta; Magnoliopsida; Solanales; Solanaceae.